RNAcentral lists this ribosomal RNA (494 nucleotides) under uncultured bacterium. RNAcentral describes it as "partial 16S ribosomal RNA". It matches the Rfam family "Bacterial small subunit ribosomal RNA", at positions 28 to 507 of the family's 1533-position model. The record is from RNAcentral.
GACGAACGCUGGCGGCGCGCUUAACACAUGCAAGUCGAACGGAAAGGCCUGCUUUCCCUUGUGGAUUGCGGGUACUCGAGUGGCGAACGGGUGAGUAACACGUGAGUGAUCUGCCCCCAACUUGGGUAUAAGCCUGGGAAACUGGGUCUAAUUCCCGAUAGGACUGCAGGGUGGUGCCUGUGGUGGAAGACGAUUUUCUAGUGGUUGGGGAUGAGCUCGCGGCCUAUCAGCUUGUUGGUGGGGUAAUGGCCUACCAAGGCGGCGACGGGUAGCCGGCCUGAGAGGGUGGACGGCCACAUUGGGACUGAGAUACGGCCCAGACUCCUACGGGAGGCAGCAGUGGGGAAUAUGGCACAAUGGGCGGAAGCCUGAUGCAGCGACGCCGCGUGGGGGAUGACGGCCUUCGGGUUGUAAACUCCUUUCGACCGCGAGGAAGCCACCUGGUUGGAAGGGUGGUGACGGUAGUGGUAGAAGAAGCACCGGCUAACUACGUG